UGGCGGACGGGUGAGGAAUACAUCGGAAUCUACUCUGUCGUGGGGGAUAACGUAGGGAAACUUACGCUAAUACCGCAUACGACCUACGGGUGAAAGCAGGGGAUCUUCGGACCUUGCGCGAUUGAAUGAGCCGAUGUCGGAUUAGCUAGUUGGCGGGGUAAAGGCCCACCAAGGCGACGAUCCGUAGCUGGUCUGAGAGGAUGAUCAGCCACACUGGAACUGAGACACGGUCCAGACUCCUACCGGGAGGCAGCAGUG
This 258-nucleotide ribosomal RNA is filed under the name uncultured Stenotrophomonas sp. RNAcentral's name for it is "partial 16S ribosomal RNA". It matches the Rfam family "Bacterial small subunit ribosomal RNA", at positions 96 to 356 of the family's 1533-position model. The record is from RNAcentral. Lineage: Bacteria; Pseudomonadati; Pseudomonadota; Gammaproteobacteria; Lysobacterales; Lysobacteraceae.